This is a long non-coding RNA of Equus asinus (donkey), 2283 nucleotides long. Lineage: Eukaryota; Metazoa; Chordata; Mammalia; Perissodactyla; Equidae. The record is from Ensembl.
GCCAAGUGUGACCCACCGGAACCCAGAAGCCGGGUUCUGACUCCACCAUCGGAGGACGUGGAGGAUGCCGGGGCACAGGUGCGCCGCUGUGCAGGAGGAAGAUGUGGAACACAGACCAGAGAGCUCGCUCAGAGCGGGACCAUCUUUAAGUGAGUGAGCGCCGCGCAGUGAAGUCAUGGUCUGAAUGCGCAUUUGCAGGUGGAUAAAACCCAGAGAGGGCCUGGAGGUGCCCUGCGGCCGCGCUGCUUUCGGACACAUUUAGGGAGCUUUUGCUGGACUGAGAGGGGAGACUCUAGUGGGCUCCCCAGGCCCACUGCACCCUGGCUCUUCUCAGCAUUGUCACCCCUUCCUGUCAAUAACCUCGUCCCUGGACAGCUGUGCAACUGUGGUUUCAUCCUGGGACAACCACCUGCCCAAUUUCAACCAAGGGGAUGAAAACCGUUACAAGACUCCCCAAAGCUCCCUCACAUGGGAUAAAAGGCUGAGAAAUGAGGAAGGGCUUGUUGGGAUCCAGGGGCUGGUCCCCAAGGGGAGGGGGAGGGGACCAUCUGCUUGUCUCCAGUCGGGGCUGUGAGGAGCUGCUGGAAGAGUUUAACCUGUGAUCCCGCAGUUUGAGAGACAUAGGGGCUGGUCUCAGAGUCAAGCCUGAAAAAUCAGAGUGAGUGACAGGCUGGCUGGAGCCCAAGUGGGUCACGGCGAAGGAUGCCAGCAAGGUUUGCCACAGACCAGACGGUGGCCAGACAGGAGCCUGGGGCCAGAGGUGCUUUCGGCUCCUGUGGGAGGAGGACAGCACUGAGGGGCUGCAGGCGAGGCUGGCUGCCCAGGGCCUCCUUGGUAAGCAGCCCAGGUGGACAGAGCCACAUCCUCCCUCCUUCAGGGUCUGCAGGCCAAAGGGGACAGCAAAGCACCUGGGGGAUGGGAGGCGAAUGUCCUCAGAAGUCAUGGAAACACCUGUCUGAGGAAGAGGCAGCUUCCCACCUCUGCCAGUGCCCCUCACACCACAGGACCCAUCUGGAAAAACCCCACCCUGCCGUUCCUUCCUCUUUCCUGGUUCACCCUGGGAGGGUCAGAAACUGCACUGGCAAGAAGGGGCCUGAAGAAGAGUGGAGGAGCCCACCACGCCCCCUCCUGGGCUGCAGCAGACUGAGCCGUGGGGGUGGGAGGGAGCAGGGUAGACGGGACUGAACAGGGGAUCCAGUCUCCAUGACCUAGGAACACCUGACAGCUGGCCCUCCUCUGCAUCCAGGAUAAGAACCAGCCCCAAGAGUGAGUUAAAGGGACAGACGGAAAUUCAAAUGCAGCUGCUUUCGGACUGCUUUGCACAAGUCCCCCUGAACAUCACAGGCUGUUGGAAGGGCCAGGCUGGUAGGAAAAGUGGAAGCAACUUUCCUCUUUCCCCCUCCUGCCUCUUCAAAUGCCAAGCAGAGUCCCUCCCGCCCACUCCUGGGUGACGUCUCAGCUUAUCUGCUCCCAGCAGCCCUGUCCUACAGAGAGAGCGGGAGCCAGCUGUGCAGACCUGAGUGUCAACAUUCUGGGAGCCACAGGAGAAAAAGCAGAACGGAAAGGACACACAGUUCAGCCAUGCUGAGGAAUUGGGGCUCCAUCCACAAGAAGAGGAAGCCAUCGAAAGUCUUCAUUAGGAGAGAGAGACAUGUUCCAAUUUGUGUUUUGGGAAAAAACAUUCUGAGUCGAGUGUAGUGGAUAUAAGAGGGCACGAGGAUGAGAUGGGAAAACAGAGGAUAGAGAUGCCACCUGAAAUUGAGCCUGGAAGUUUCCAGAAGAAGUUUGUUGAAUCCUGGGUUACAGCAGUUAAGCCCCCACUCACUGAAUAAUGCAAGUUCCCUUUGGUAAGGACCACACCUGUAUGACAAUGUAAGCACAAGCUGUGAACUUUUGGAUGUCUGACACAGCUUAGGCCAAUUCUUUUUCCUUCUCCUUACCUGAUGUGGACUUGAGAGAGAGAGGAAUUUUUUGAAAACAAGAGAAAUUUGAUAGCCAAGUGUAAGACUUUGGUUUAGAAACUUUCCCUCAAUUAAAUAAACUCAGUGGUCUGAAAUGACUGUAUUGAUGAAGUGUUUCUUUCCACCUUAGAAACUGAUCAUCCAUGCCCUUCAUGGAAUGUGUCUUUGUAACCACAAUGACUCAGUUUAUCUGAUUAAGAGGGGUUAUGACUAUGGCUACUUUAGCUAAAACAGAGGCAUUAUUAGAAGGUGCAAGCAAACAGUGAGCACUGCAAACAUGGAUUUCAUCAUGGAAAAUCAGAAUACCUUCUCUGAUCUUUUC